GACAGAGGGUGCAAACGUUGUUCGGAAUUACUGGGCGUAAAGCGAGUGUAGGCGGUUCGAUAAGUCGGAUGUGAAAGCCCCGGGCUCAACCCGGGAAGUGCACUCGAUACUGUCGAGCUAGAGUAUCGGAGAGGUUGGUGGAAUUCUCGGUGUAGAGGUGAAAUUCGUAGAUAUCGAGAGGAACACCGAUAGCGAAGGCAGCAUACUAGGGAGUAACUGACGCUGAGGCACGAAAGUGUGGGGAUCAAACAGG
RNAcentral lists this ribosomal RNA (253 nucleotides) under uncultured bacterium. RNAcentral's name for it is "partial 16S ribosomal RNA". It matches the Rfam family "Bacterial small subunit ribosomal RNA", at positions 524 to 776 of the family's 1533-position model. The record is from RNAcentral.